Long non-coding RNA from Talpa occidentalis (Iberian mole), 539 nucleotides. RefSeq lists it as uncharacterized. Lineage: Eukaryota; Metazoa; Chordata; Mammalia; Eulipotyphla; Talpidae. The transcript has 3 exons. The record is from RefSeq and is a predicted model, not a curated record.
AUUUUGGUGUUUCCGGACCUUUUGGUGUUUCUGGGGUCAGCAAUUUCUGCCCCUACCAUGCAGAUGUUCCAGAAGGCUGCUGUGGGCCUCUGAUGGUUGCAGAGAAGCUUUCAGCAGCCAACCUCAGAGAAGAAAAGUUCAGAGACUUUGCAGGUAGCUAAGCAACUGAAACUGUGCCCAACUUUGCUGCUGUUACAGCCUGGAAGGGAGGGCGAAGACCUGGAGCUGGCUGCCUCCUGAGCUGUGUGAGCGUGAGCUUGGGCCGCUUGUCGGGUCAUUCUGCUGCUGCAGCUGCUGUUCUGAGUCCCGCUUGUCUGGUGCUGUGCUGGCACAUCUCGGCAGCUCAGGCAAGGAAACGGAAAUAAAAGAAAUUUAGUUUCAUCUGAGGCCAUAUCCCAAGUCUAAAAUAGAACUGAGAUUCAAACUCGGUGAGACUUCGCCUAUGGGUCCAAGCACUGUGUGGGAAGGGGGCACAGCCUGCUCGUUCAUCCCCCUCUGAAUCCCAAAGAAGGGAGAAAAAUGGAAAAAAGUAGAAAAUG